AGUGAACGCUGGCGGUAGGCCUAACACAUGCAAGUCGAACGGCAGCACAGUAAGAGCUUGCUCUUACGGGUGGCGAGUGGCGGACGGGUGAGGAAUACAUCGGAAUCUACUUUUUCGUGGGGGAUAACGUAGGGAAACUUACGCUAAUACCGCAUACGACCUACGGGUGAAAGCAGGGGAUCUUCGGACCUUGCGCGAUUGAAUGAGCCGAUGUCGGAUUAGCUAGUUGGCGGGGUAAAGGCCCACCAAGGCGACGAUCCGUAGCUGGUCUGAGAGGAUGAUCAGCCACACUGGAACUGAGACACGGUCCAGACUCCUACGGGAGGCAGCAGUGGGGAAUAUUGGACAAUGGGCGCAAGCCUGAUCCAGCAAUACCGCGUGGGUGAAGAAGGCCUUCGGAUUGUAAAGCCCUUUUGUUGGGAAAGAAAAGCAGCAGGUUAAUACCCCGCUGUUCUGACGGUACCCAAAGAAUAAGCACCGGCUAACUUCGUG
RNAcentral lists this ribosomal RNA (492 nucleotides) under uncultured bacterium. Its description in RNAcentral is "partial 16S ribosomal RNA". It matches the Rfam family "Bacterial small subunit ribosomal RNA", at positions 29 to 507 of the family's 1533-position model. The record is from RNAcentral.